UCUAUAAUCUACUUAAAGUACCUUUUAACAAAGAAGAAAAAAAAAAUCAAAAACAAUCAAAGAGAAAAUACUUGCUCUAGUAUCAUUUCAAGCAAAACUUUUUUCAACUUUAAUUAUCAUAUAAAACUAUCAUUAUGUAGAAGAGAUCCUAAAAAAUCUUAUUUGUAAAAAAACAAUUGUGUAUUGUGACAAUAGGGAGUCCAAGCUCUCUUUUUUUUAUCUUUUUAUAAUAAUAUUAUUAGAGAAUUAUCUAAUAUAGUAAUUAAAAAUAAAGAUAAUAUUACAAAAAUAAUUCUUUACAAACACUUCACACAAUAUUGAAGAGGAACUCACCUAGUUACAUCUCUAGCUAAGUUGAUACUUAUCAACAAACUUCCAAAAUGUAUGACUUUUCUUCUAAUUGAUCUUGAAUUAAAUGUUUCUAAUAGGGAUUUAAGAUUUAAGAAUAAAAGAUUCAAUGUUCUAUCUACCUCCUCUUAUCCACAUCUACAAGAAAGAUGGAGACAUAUCUUUUUUGCAUCUUCUUCUUAGAUUAUAUCCUUCAACUCCUAACUCCUACUCUUUC
Molecule: long non-coding RNA, 565 nt
Filed under: Physcomitrium patens
Lineage: Eukaryota; Viridiplantae; Streptophyta; Bryopsida; Funariales; Funariaceae
Description: long non-coding RNA (PPAT_LNC013546)
Source: RNAcentral